This 82-nucleotide transfer RNA is filed under the name Sphingopyxis sp. YR583. RNAcentral describes it as "tRNA_Ser_TGA". It matches the Rfam family "tRNA". From Rfam's summary of the family: Transfer RNA (tRNA) molecules are approximately 80 nucleotides in length. Their secondary structure includes four short double-helical elements and three loops (D, anti-codon, and T loops). The record is from RNAcentral. Lineage: Bacteria; Pseudomonadati; Pseudomonadota; Alphaproteobacteria; Sphingomonadales; Sphingopyxidaceae.
GCGGAGGUGGCGAUAUCUUAGACGCAGCGGACUUGAAAUCCGCCUGGUUCAUCCAGUGCGGGUUCAAGUCCCGCCGUCCGCA